This 472-nucleotide long non-coding RNA is filed under the name Mytilus galloprovincialis (Mediterranean mussel). Lineage: Eukaryota; Metazoa; Mollusca; Bivalvia; Mytilida; Mytilidae. The record is from RNAcentral.
CGUUGUAGCUGCAGUGCAUGUAACCUGCAUAUAAUGUGUGACAGUGUAGAAACGAGGGGGAAAAUGGGACUGGUGGAUUUGUUAUCAAUUCAAAAGCUGGACAUGGUAAGAGAGUUCAAUUUUCUCUUUAUUAUAUAUUCUCUUUAGACUUUACACAUUUUACUGGUUGGAGAAGGUGUAUGGUUUCAUGUCUUGAAUAAAUGAACCUGCCCCACACCUCUCUUUUUCUUUCUUUAAUUCCCCUCUAUUAUGGUCUGGGGUUUAUGUGGUUUGAGGGUAAAAAGCUUUAUUUUGAGGGGAAGUGCUGCCCAAAUUUUUUAUGAAGCUGGACUUAGUAAUUUUUCUGGAAUUUUGCCCCUGGAAGUUAUUUAUCAUUUUUGCAAUGUACACAAAGACAUCUAUACAUAAGGGGCUUUUUAGUUUUGCAUCCAAAAGGAGAGGAUUAUUUUGUAAAUACUUAUUUGGUAGCAAU